GUGUUCAGCUGCAAGAAUUUAGUUUGUUUCUUUUUUUUGAAGUCAUAGAUUGUUUUGUGCCAGAAACAGGACAAGUAAUGCUCUAUAACCUUGGCAUAAAAAAUGGUCUAAAUUUCAUAUAGAAGGCCGUGGAAUACUUUGCAUGUGUUCAUUCAAAUAUAUGGAGUUGACCUGUACGUGUUGCUUCUAUGCACACUAUGUUCCAUAUGAAUUUGUAGGAGAGAAUCUCUAUAAUGGUAAUUAAGUAUUGUCGAUAUUUACUCUGUUGCUUUAGGAUCGAACAGCUGGACCUGGAAGCCACGAGAGCUGCCCGAGGAAGAGGGCGAAGGCGCGGGGGUGGAAGAGGGUAUGCCUGUGGUCAUCACCUUCCGAGACGACACGACCCGGCGAUUCAGAUUUAUCUUAUUCCUUGCCUCAACAACAUGCUCUGCUUCUUGAGCUUGCAGGUUCUAGCCUUUCUCUUCUCCUCUUGUUGUCUUGCACUCCGAUCAAGCCAUGGUGCAUAUUGCCUCAGAUUUGCUUAUUUGAGUGUGCUUUUAUACAUAAAUCUUGAUUUGUUUGUUUUUCAUAUUUUUAGGGAUAUGAGGAGAGAACUCUAUUGUUGGCAGUGACUGCAUCAUUUCCACAAGUGAUAUGGUUGAUCUUUGCUAUGUGGACGAUGGCAGGAUCUGUACCUAAGUUUGGAGAUUCUGAAUUAGUAAGAAAACGAUGGCAACCAUUUGAUUGUUUUUUUAUUACUUUAGGAAUAUGAGGAGAGAGCUCUAUUGUUGGCAGGGGCUGCAUCAUUAUCUUUGCUAUGUGGACCGAUGGCAUGAUCUGUACCUAAGGUUGAAGAUUCUGAAUUAGGAAAGAAAAAGAUGACAGCCACUUCGUUUUAGUACAUCAGUUUACUGAAUAAUUCUACGCUUUGAACUGCACGAUUACAGUGACAAUAUAACUAAAUAAUGGAAGAAACUUAAGGCUAGACACCACAUAAAUUUUCUUUUUAUUUGAAUUUAUAAUUAGACACUUGAAUUUAGCUUGAUACAUAUCAUAUGAUACCUUAGAAGCCCAUAUUGUAAAAUUUGACCAGUUCCCAUAAGGCCACAACUGUAUCUUAGUGUAGAAUUUACUUUCUCUUU
This 1121-nucleotide long non-coding RNA is filed under the name Triticum aestivum (bread wheat). Its description in RNAcentral is "long non-coding RNA (TAES_LNC009454)". The record is from RNAcentral. Lineage: Eukaryota; Viridiplantae; Streptophyta; Magnoliopsida; Poales; Poaceae.